AGAGGUUACUGCUAUCGGUGUUCGCCUAAGCCAUGCGAGUCAUAUGUAGCAAUACAUGGCGUACUGCUCAGUAACACGUGGAUAACCUGCCCUUGGGACCGGCAUAACCCCGGGAAACUGGGGAUAAUUCCGGAUAACGCAUAUGUGCUGGAAUGCUUUAUGCGUAAAAUGGAUUCGUCUGCCCAAGGAUGGGUCUGCGGCCUAUCAGGUAGUAGUGGGUGUAGUGUACCUACUAGCCAGCGACGGGUACGGGUUGUGAGAGCAAGAGCCCGGAGAUGGAUUCUGAGACAUGAAUCCAGGCCCUACGGGGCGCAGCAGGCGCGAAAACUUUACAAUGCGGGAAACCGUGAUAAGGGGACACCGAGUGCCAGCAUCAUAUGCUGGCUGUCCAGGUGUGUAAAAUACACCUGUUAGCAAGGGCCGGGCAAGACCGGUGCCAGCCGCCGCGGUAACACCGGCGGCCCGAGUGGUGAUCGUGAUUAUUGGGUCUAAAGGGUCCGUAGCCGGUUUGGUCAGUCCUCCGGGAAAUCUGAUAGCUUAACUAUUAGGCUUUCGGGGGAUACUGCCAGACUUGGAACCGGGAGAGGUAAGAGGUACUACAGGGGUAGGAGUGAAAUCUUGUAAUCCCUGUGGGACCACCUGUGGCGAAGGCGUCUUACCAGAACGGGUUCGACGGUGAGGGACGAAAGCUGGGGGCACGAACCGGAUUAGAUACCCGGGUAGUCCCAGCCGUAAACGAUGCUCGCUAGGUGUCUGGGAUGGUGCGACCGUUUCAGGUGCCGCAGGGAAGCCGUGAAGCGAGCCACCUGGGAAGUACGGCCGCAAGGCUGAAACUUAAAGGAAUUGGCGGGGGAGCACUACAACGGGUGGAGCCUGCGGUUU
RNAcentral lists this ribosomal RNA (882 nucleotides) under uncultured archaeon. RNAcentral's name for it is "bacterial SSU rRNA". It matches the Rfam family "Archaeal small subunit ribosomal RNA", at positions 19 to 903 of the family's 1478-position model. The record is from RNAcentral.